UACGUAGGGGGCUAGCGUUGUCCGGAAUCAUUGGGCGUAAAGCGCGUGUAGGCGGUCCGGUAAGUCCGCUGUGAAAGCCAGGGGCUCAACCCUUGGAUGCCGGUGGAUACUGUCGGGCUCGAGUACGGAAGAGGCGAGUGGAAUUCCCGGUGUAGCGGUGAGAUGCGCAGAUAUCUGGAGGAACACCGGUGGCGAAGGCGGCAUCCUGGACCAACACUGACGCUGAGGAGCGAAAGCCAGGGGAGCAAACGGG
This 253-nucleotide ribosomal RNA is filed under the name uncultured bacterium. RNAcentral describes it as "partial 16S ribosomal RNA". It matches the Rfam family "Bacterial small subunit ribosomal RNA", at positions 524 to 776 of the family's 1533-position model. The record is from RNAcentral.